Long non-coding RNA from Daucus carota subsp. sativus, 360 nucleotides. RefSeq lists it as uncharacterized. The record is from RefSeq and is a predicted model, not a curated record. The transcript is spliced from 4 exons. Lineage: Eukaryota; Viridiplantae; Streptophyta; Magnoliopsida; Apiales; Apiaceae.
UUUGGUUGCAAAUAAAGAUAAACGUUAUAUCAUAGCACCUUACAUCCAAGAUGACCACUGGAUGUUGCUCCUUUUUUGUCUUAAUGAAAGUGCUAUCUACGUGUUUGAUUCAUUGAAAAAAGAAAGGAAGAUACGGUUGACAAUACCUGCACGAAUGGCAUUCAAAUUAUACGUGUCUCAAGGUGGACUGAGGAACAAUAGAAAAGAAUUUAUAUGGCAUCACACUGAGGUUCAGUGUCCUCAACAGGUAGGAGGUAGAGAAUGUGGAUUUUUUGUCAUGAGGUACAUGUAUGACAUAGUCAUGAUUUCUCAGAAAAAUUCUAACACGAACUGGAAAGUGGUAAGAGAAACAACUCAAAC